Molecule: ribosomal RNA, 573 nt
Filed under: Hanseniaspora uvarum
Lineage: Eukaryota; Fungi; Ascomycota; Saccharomycetes; Saccharomycodales; Saccharomycodaceae
Description: LSU rRNA
Rfam family: Eukaryotic large subunit ribosomal RNA
Source: RNAcentral
ACAACUGGGAUUACCUUAGUACGGCGAGUGAAGCGGUAAAAGCUCAAAUUUGAAAUCUGGUACUUUCAGUGCCCGAGUUGUAAUUUGUAGAAUUUGUCUUUGAUUAGGUCCUUGUCUAUGUUCCUUGGAACAGGACGUCAUAGAGGGUGAGAAUCCCGUUUGGCGAGGAUACCUUUUCUCUGUAAGACUUUUUCGAAGAGUCGAGUUGUUUGGGAAUGCAGCUCAAAGUGGGUGGUAAAUUCCAUCUAAAGCUAAAUAUUGGCGAGAGACCGAUAGCGAACAAGUACAGUGAUGGAAAGAUGAAAAGAACUUUGAAAAGAGAGUGAAAAAGUACGUGAAAUUGUUGAAAGGGAAGGGCAUUUGAUCAGACAUGGUGUUUUUUGCAUGCACUCGCCUCUCGUGGGCUUGGGCCUCUCAAAAAUUUCACUGGGCCAACAUCAAUUCUGGCAGCAGGAUAAAUCAUUAAGAAUGUAGCUACUUCGGUAGUGUUAUAGCUUUUUGGAAUACUGUUAGCCGGGAUUGAGGACUGCGCUUCGGCAAGGAUGUUGGCAUAAUGGUUAAAUGCCGCCCGUC